Long non-coding RNA from Oncorhynchus tshawytscha (Chinook salmon), 759 nucleotides. The record is from Ensembl. NCBI's taxonomy places the organism in Eukaryota, Metazoa, Chordata, Actinopteri, Salmoniformes, Salmonidae.
CCUCAACUAAGGAGAAGUCCGUGGUUGUAUUCGCUAAAAGUUUUUAUUGAAAGUUGGAAUUUCAGCAUUUGCAGUUGGGCAUCAGUUGUACGGGACAAGCAUAAGUACAGGUGAAUGAGGUGUGAACCUGACGGUCCCCAGUACCCCGGGUGGUGAUGUGAGCACGGACACCCUUCUCCCUCAUCAGUCUCAAUUAUGGGAUAUUUACACCCUGCCUGGUCCCGGAACCCUGCCAGCCAAGCGGAUAAUGGCUCUCCACUCUCUCCAGUUACCCCGUAGAGUGUAGGGAGCCGACACCCCAUCUCACACACACACACACACACUUCCCUUACAGCUCUGCUUUGUUCCUGGGUGGUGACAUCAUGGCCGUGGGGUUGCCAAUGGGGACUGCGGCAGACUCACUCACACACACUCAAACUUUUCAGAUCUCUCUGACGUCCAGGGGUUUUCACUCUAACCCGUUGUUCUAACACACUGCUAGAUGAGAUGAGGCAGCCUCAGUCCACUAAACUCCCUGUGUCCUAGUCUAUCUGUACCCUGAUAGACUGACGCCAGACCUGGCUCUACUCCCUCGCCCAUGUACGGUGCCCCUAGAGCAGUGGUGUUCAACUCUGACCCCUACGAGGUUCGGAGCCUGCUUGUUCUCUGUUCUACCUGAUCAUCAAUUACAGCCGCCUGAUGUCCCAGGUCUAAAUCAGGCCCUGAUUAGAGGGGAAUCACCCACCUGGGUUCCCAGGUCUAAAUCAGGCCCUGAUUAGA